UCCCUGGUAGCUCAGACGGUAAAGCAUCUGCCUACAACGCAGGAGACCUAGGUUCGAUCCCUGGGUUGGGAA
Molecule: transfer RNA, 72 nt
Filed under: Ovis aries (sheep)
Lineage: Eukaryota; Metazoa; Chordata; Mammalia; Artiodactyla; Bovidae
Rfam family: tRNA
About the family: Transfer RNA (tRNA) molecules are approximately 80 nucleotides in length. Their secondary structure includes four short double-helical elements and three loops (D, anti-codon, and T loops). Further hydrogen bonds mediate the characteristic L-shaped molecular structure. tRNAs have two regions of fundamental functional importance: the anti-codon, which is responsible for specific mRNA codon recognition, and the 3' end, to which the tRNAs corresponding amino acid is attached (by aminoacyl-tRNA synthetases). tRNAs cope with the degeneracy of the genetic code in two manners: having more than one tRNA (with a specific anti-codon) for a particular amino acid; and 'wobble' base-pairing, i.e. permitting non-standard base-pairing at the 3rd anti-codon position.
Source: Rfam by way of RNAcentral